Molecule: long non-coding RNA, 1954 nt
Filed under: Homo sapiens (human)
Lineage: Eukaryota; Metazoa; Chordata; Mammalia; Primates; Hominidae
Description: non-protein coding lnc-AP3S1-2:5
Source: RNAcentral
GUUCAUUAAUCCUCUAUGACUGAAUCCCCAUAGUAUACAAUUUAUUUCUCCAUGGGCAACAAGACAUGCCAGCAACUGCACGGCUACUUCUCCAUUUAGCCAGACAGAGAAUAAAGGGUCCCUGUAUUCAUGCCUUCCUGGAAAUCUCAGUGCAAGGCCCUAUCAGGAGGUUUCCUGGAGCAGCUAAGGGAACAGCUAGACCACCCAGGAAGAAAUGACAGAAGCCUACCUGACUUCCAAUCUGCUUGCUUCAUGGUGUAAUGGGGGCCUAGACAGAAGCACCCCAAGGACACUUACAACAACUGUUCUGCCAGCUCUAGUCCAUUGGAGAAGAUGUGCCAACAUACCUUCUCACCAUCCCUAGAGCCCAACCUUGCUAUGGAAAGGUCAAACCCUUACCAUUGGCCCUGCCAAGGAUCCCCAGACAGAGAAGCACAAUGGAGGCCAUAAAUUAUGGCUUCUUAUCAUGGCCUCCACAUAACUUAAACUCUGGAUGGUGAAUGAAAUCUGGGGCCAAGUCUUAAAGGGUCAGGGUAGCCAAUGAGCAUAACUCAAUAUUUGUGUUUCUAAGAGAAAACCACAGAACCUCCAUAUCCAUGGCAAACUGGCCAGCCACAGGCUGGAUCCAGUGUGCAGUAGUGUUUUGUGUACACCAUUCACUAUUUGUCUACUUGGGUUAAAAAUGUUUUAUAUUAGUUAGCAAUGUUUAAACAUUGGGAGAAUUAAAGGGAAAUGAAAACGUACUUCCCACAAAUACUUGCACAUAAAUAUUCACAGCAGCAUUGUUUAUAAUUGCCCAAAACUAGAAACAACCCAAAUAUCCAUCAACUGAUGAAUGAUAAACAAGUUGUGGUAUAUUCAUCCAAUAAAACAAUAUUCAGCAAUAAAAAUAAACAAAUCAGGCACUUAAUAUAAUUGAAUAUCAAGGUCAUUAUGUUGAGUGAAAGAGGCCAGAAAAUAAAAGUAUACACUAUUUGAUUCCAUUUAUAUAAUAUUCUAGAAAAUGAAAACCAGUCUAUACUUACAGAAAACAAGGUGGUAGCUUACAGAGAUGGGGUAGAGGGAGGGAGAGAUGACAGAGAGGCAUAAAAAAACUUUCCGGACAAUGAAAAUGUUCUGUAUUUUAAUUGUGGUGAUGGUUUCAUGGAUGUACAAGUUCAUCAAAUCUCAUCAAGUUAAAUAUAUGCAUUUAUUUUAUAUUAAGUGUACCUCAAUAAAGCAGAAAAAUUUAAAAUUGGUAAUAUUUAUAUACAAAUUGAGAUAUCUAUAUUUCUUGAAAAUCAAAAUGUCUGACAUCAUUUGGUCUACAUAUUUAUCUGCCAAAAAUACAGGAGAUAGACAGUAGCUGUCCUUUAGAAGGGGCAUACCCUUUCGAGUUUGCAACAGGCCUUCAUACUUCCUGCUGCUUACCCAGCAUUCAUUACAUGUUUAUUGUCAUUUAUUUAAGUUACUUAUUGUGAACCUAAUGCAUGUAUGGCCUCAUUCUAGGUACUGGAGACUAAACAUGCAAACACACCUAACUGGCAUGGUUUCCAUUUGCCUAAUUGUCACGGGGUACCAUGAAGUUUACAUUUUAGUGAGAUUGGAGAAAGAUAGACAUUUAGAGUUAAUAAGUUGGAUAAAUAGUAUAUUAGGUGGAAAGAAGUAUAAGAAAAAAACAUACAGCCAGGAAGAAGUAUAGACAGUUCCAGAGCUAAAAUGUUAGCCAUGGAUCCCAGGAAGUCCUCACUGAAAGGUGACUUUGGGAGGAAACCUGUAGAAGGUGAGGAAUUGAGCUAUGCAUAUAACCCAGGGAAGAGCAUUCUAGACAGACAUGACAGUCCAUGAGAAGAUUCUAGGCAAGGGAGGUAGCCCAGGGUCUUCAACCAACAGCAAGGAGGCUAAUCUAGCUUGGCACAGAGUAACAAGAGAUGAGAUCAGAGAAAUAACAGGGUAGAGAUGGUGUGGAGUCUUA